This 1315-nucleotide ribosomal RNA is filed under the name Spiroplasma sp. GSU5478. Its description in RNAcentral is "bacterial LSU rRNA". It matches the Rfam family "Bacterial large subunit ribosomal RNA", at positions 132 to 1455 of the family's 2925-position model. The record is from RNAcentral. RNAcentral also lists the same sequence under 1 other name. Lineage: Bacteria; Bacillati; Mycoplasmatota; Mollicutes; Entomoplasmatales; Spiroplasmataceae.
UAUGAUUAAUCUCAUAACAUCUUUAACUGAAUACAUAGGUUAUUGAAGGGAACCUAGGGAACUGAAACAUCUUAGUACCUAGAGGAAAAGAAAACGAAUGUGAUUCUGUCAGUAGCGGCGAGCGAAAGCGGAACAGGCCAAACCGGUCUACGGGCCGGGGUUGUAGGACUCUUGUUAGAGUUACAAAAUUAGUGUAUAGCAGAAACUGUUGGGAAACAGUGGCAUAGAGUGUGAUACCCACGUAUGCGAAAUGCACUAAUCUCGAGAGAGUAUCCUGAGUACGGCGGGGCACGUGAAACCCUGUCGGAAUCUACCCAGACCACUGGGUAAGCCUAAAUACUACCAUUUUACCGAUAGUGAACCAGUACCGUGAGGGAAAGGUGAAAAGUACCCCGUGAGGGGAGUGAAAUAGUACCUGAAACCAUAUGCUUACAAGAAGUCAGAGCCCGUUAAUGGGUAAUGGCGUGCUUUUUGUAGAAAGAGCCGGCGAGUUACGAUAUCAUGCAAGGUUAAGUGGAAUACACGGAGCCGCAGUGAAAGCGAGCCUUAAUAGGGCGUUUAGUAUGAUGUCGUAGACACGAAACCAGGUGAUCUAGCCAUGAGCAGGUUGAAGUUAGGGUAAAACCUAAUGGAGGACCGAACCGACGUUCGUUGAAAUGACCGCGGAUGACUUGUGGCUAGGGGUGAAAUUCCAAUCGAACCUGGAGAUAGCUAGUUCUCCCCGAUAUAGCUUUAAGGCUAGCGUCGAGGUUUAGGAUUAUGGAGGUAGAGCUCUGAAUGUAUGAUGGCCCCACCUAGGGGUACUGAUUACAAUUAAACUACGAAUGCCAUAAUUUCAUACUCGGCAGUCAGAACAUGGGUGAUAAGGUCCAUGCUCGUGAGGGAAACAGCCCAGAUCAACAACUAAGGUCCCUAAAUUUAUGCUAAGUGUGUAAGGAUGUGGAAGUGCACAAACAGCUAGUAUGUUGGCUUAGAAGCAGCCAUCAUUUAAAGAGUGCGUAACAGCUCACUAGUCGAGUGCUUCUGCGCCGAAAAUGUACCGGGGCUUAAGCAUAGUACCGAAGUUUUGGAUUUACAGUAAUGUAAGUGGUAGGGGAGCGUUCUAAUCGUGAUGAAGUUAAACCGUGAGGAUUAGUGGAAUGAUUAGAAGUGAUUAUGCCGGCAUGAGUAACGUUUGGGAGUGAGAAUCUCCCAUGCCGUUUGACCAAGGUUUCCUGGGCAAGGUUCGUCCACCCAGGGUUAGUCAGGACCUAAGGCGAGGCCGAAAGGCGUAGUCGAUGGACAACAGGUUGAUAUUCCUGUACCACCUAAUAAA